Molecule: ribosomal RNA, 243 nt
Filed under: uncultured Staphylococcus sp.
Lineage: Bacteria; Bacillati; Bacillota; Bacilli; Caryophanales; Staphylococcaceae
Description: partial 16S ribosomal RNA
Rfam family: Bacterial small subunit ribosomal RNA
Source: RNAcentral
CGGCGGACGGGUGAGUAACACGUGGAUAACCUACCUAUAAGACUGGGAUAACUUCGGGAAACCGGAGCUAAUACCGGAUAAUAUUUUGAACCGCAUGGUUCAAAGUAAAAGACGGUCUUGCUGUCACUCAUAGAUGGAUCCGCGCUGCAUUAGCUAGUUGGUAAGGUAACGGCUUACCAGGGCAACGAUGCAUAGCCGACCUGAGAGGGUGAUCGGCCACACUGGAACUGAGACACGGUCCAG